GGGCGAUUAGCUCAGUUUGGUAGAGCACCUCCCUUACAAGGAGGGGGUCAUCAGUUCAAGUCUGGUAUCGCCCA
This 74-nucleotide transfer RNA is filed under the name Arsenophonus sp. Its description in RNAcentral is "tRNA-Val". It matches the Rfam family "tRNA". From Rfam's summary of the family: Transfer RNA (tRNA) molecules are approximately 80 nucleotides in length. Their secondary structure includes four short double-helical elements and three loops (D, anti-codon, and T loops). Further hydrogen bonds mediate the characteristic L-shaped molecular structure. tRNAs have two regions of fundamental functional importance: the anti-codon, which is responsible for specific mRNA codon recognition, and the 3' end, to which the tRNAs corresponding amino acid is attached (by aminoacyl-tRNA synthetases). tRNAs cope with the degeneracy of the genetic code in two manners: having more than one tRNA (with a specific anti-codon) for a particular amino acid; and 'wobble' base-pairing, i.e. permitting non-standard base-pairing at the 3rd anti-codon position. The record is from RNAcentral. Lineage: Bacteria; Pseudomonadati; Pseudomonadota; Gammaproteobacteria; Enterobacterales; Morganellaceae.